Molecule: long non-coding RNA, 5359 nt
Organism: Numida meleagris (helmeted guineafowl)
Lineage: Eukaryota; Metazoa; Chordata; Aves; Galliformes; Numididae
Exons: 2
Source: RefSeq, a predicted model, not a curated record
AGGAUCUCUUUCUGGAGAUCUCUCCUUGGUGGAAGCCUUUCCCUGCGAACCCGGAAUCUUCUGAUACAGUUUUUAAGAUUUGGUGAUUAAAAGGGAACAAGAGAACUCCAAAGGCAAACAUGGAAGUGAUGAUCAGGGGCGGUUCCUGUGGUCAUUCCAGACAGACUGACGAAGAGGCACCUCAAUAUCCCAGCAUGAGUCCCAGGUAACUGCAGGAUGGAAAGCAUCCCCAAGGAAAAUACAAAACAUUCAACUUCAAAUUCCCAGCAGAGCCCUCAAAAUUCCCUUCCAGUUUUAAAGCAAAACUCGGGACUAUUGUACUUUGAAACACCUUCGUUUAAUCACUUUGAGUAUUCUGCUAGGGAGUAACUAAAUGGUACUUAGUGCUUUUAAGGUAGUGAGCAUUCCCUAAGAGCUUACAGAGUUCUUCGAGCAUGAUGGAAGCAAAAUUAAAUGUUUUAAAACAUAUCCUCCUUAGCGACUCUGCCUCAUUAGCUAGCACUGUACACAAAGCAAUGCUCUGCCUGGUGAGGCAACAAUAAAUAAUACAAGAAAUAAUGACAAAACAAUUAGGUAUUCCUGGAAGCAAUGCGAUUUAGCUUUUCUUUACAACUAGGUAAAGCACUGCUCUUAUAAAUAUAUAAAAAAAACCACACCAAACAACCCACUAGUUAUGCCAUUGCAUCUUUUUAAUGGUGUACUGGUCUUAGGAUUAGCCCCUUCUUUGCUUUGAGUGGGUGGCAGAAGGACACUGCUUACUGCUCCACACAGUGUGCUCAUCUGAAAUAACUAAGAACCUGUCCCAUACUUUAACAGCAUUCCAGGUUGGCAUAGCACCCACAAAUCAAAGAAUUAGUGUGAAUUUUUUUGUGCGGGUGAUAAAAAGGGAGAAGCAGCCUAUGGCUACACCCUUGCUUUGUAUGCAAAAUUAUGUCAACCCCAGACCCCAGAACAACUCAACGCACACAGGCACGCAUCCUUCCAGCAAGCCUUCUGAAGUCUGAUGCUAGGUUUUACAGCAUCGCUAAGCAGCAAACUGUGGGAAGGAAGCAGAUGUUAAGAAAACUGCGACUAAAAAUAGGCAGCGAUCCCUCAGUUUGUCUGCACAGCUUCCCUGCACCUACACACCGCAGCACACCCCCCCGCUUCAGCAUUCUGCUAAGGAAGAUGGAGUUUUUUUUCUAAGCGACUCCAAUCCUCGCCGCCAUUCAGGAACCAGGUGCGUGCAGCCCAGGAAGCAUCCCCUGACCUUUCCCAUGUAACAGCGGCAGGGAUGCCGAGCUGCCAGCCGCGCCGCGCUCCGCUGCGGGCGAACCGCACUGCGUGAGCCCAAGUCAGCGGCAGGCGUCCCGCAGAGCUUAUGGAGCCCAACCGUAGCCAGCCCCAGCCAUCCGUACCUUCGAGCACCUGGGGAGGGAAGAGCAGAGGGUAACAAAGAGCCAGCCCGCUGCGGGUACCUGCUACAGGAACAGAUCGGCGGCGGCAGGAAGAGAACCCGGCGGGGUCAGGCAAGCCUUAGAGCCGGGCGCUGCAGAGCCCCCUAGCCGCCCCCGGGCAGCAGCCCAGCGGGGAGCGCACAGCCCGGGCUGGGCCGCGUGGGCUCCGAGCGUGCCCUGGGGGAGAGGGAGCCCCGGGAGGGGGAGGGGGGGAAGAGUGAGCUAUCCGGGUUUUGCGAGGCUUGUCCUCGCACACGCUCAGCACUGGGAAAGGUUGUUUUUCGUUAAUUUGACUGGUUUUAGUCUAAAAGUAAUGAGAUGGGCGCUCCAAUGCAUUAAAAAAAAUUCCCAUUACCUGUACGCGUGAAAGGACAAAGUCAGACAUUGCUCUUUUUCUUGCAGACCCCAUCUUCCUGAUUAAGAAAUAGUUUUACUUCGUAUCCUUGUUAAGCACCUUAAAUGUGGAAGUUUCCUACAAUCUGAGCAAGGCACAUGCUGCUGGCAUCGCAUUUCUCCCUUCUUAGAACGGAACGAUCCACCAGGAUGCGCAGCGAGCAGCCCAGCGCAGAAGUGGAUCGUCCCCUUCUGCCCCCAGAUUUCUCCGAGAUUCCUGACAUUUCUGAAUAUUCAUGGGCCGGUUUCAAACAAAGCCUCCGCCGACCUACGGCUCCCAUAGCCCCGAGCACCAACGGGCCGCGAGCUGGCCGAACAUCUGGAAGUUACGGUGUACUGUAUUCUCCCUGAACGAUCGCUGUUCUGAAUCUACAUCGGAGCAGAGCACUGGGAGGUGCGAGCCCCCCACACAGCGGGGAAGGGCUCACUGUGCAGCUGCUCCUGCAGGGACACCCAGGUACAAAGCGCUGCCCCAUGCACAGCUCUGCAAAUGAAGAAACGCGCACACCACACGUAAAGCAAACAAACCGAAGCAUCCACAACAAAGGCUUGGCUUUUAAAAGCGAAGAAAUUCUCUCCUUGAACCCUCACCGAACUUUCCCACUCUAGUUCAGUCACUACAACCAACGAGUGAUACUGUGAUUUUGGCUGAACUACAACUCCACCCGAGAUUCAGACAACUCCUAUUUCUCACAGCAUCCGGCAGGCAAAGAAAACUGAAGCUCAUAAAGUCACAUGGAUAUAAGAAGCUCCGAAGCCAGACCUGUCCACACCACAACAUCACCCAUUUCUGCUGCUAAGCCCGGCGAGCAGUUAUCCCAAACCAAACGUCGCGCUCCAGCAUCUCAUAAUGAAGACGGCAUUUCCCAGAUUACAAGCAUCUACUUAAAUAUUUUGGCCACAUCUUUCGAAAGCAUGGCUCGUUUGGACGAUGACAUUCUGCAAAGCACGUGAUCCCUGCAAUUCCACUUAACUUAGAUGAUGAGCACCUCAUUAACUGAGUGCCAUCACCAUGCCCUGAAGGGAAAGCCAGUCCUCACCAUACCACUGAGAAACACUGAGGACAACAACCCGGGCUGGGAGGACCAGCACGACAAUCCAGGAAUGAUCCCUCUGCUCAUUGACUCCCUCAUGAGGAUAACUCACCACGUUACGACUGUCUUGCUACUGUUUAUGUUAAUAAUAAUUUAAAAAAAAAGUCUGCAAAGCAAGCGAUACACAUUUAAAACCUAAGUCAUCUGCUUCUCAUGAUGAUCCACGCUCAAAUCAGAAGCCUACAAGAUGGCAUUGCAUGCAAAUGAGGAGGAUGUCCGCAUGUAGCACCUUCUGCUUGUUGAUAAACACAGCAGGGAUUACCAGCCCUCCUUCACGGGAUGCUUUAUAUGUUAAUGGGCCCACACUGGUGAAUCAUUUCAGCUACCAUCAGGUACCGCAAGUCUUUCCCUUCUCUUAAUAGUUCGGUGCCAACAACAACUGAGGGUGAAAGCCGGAGGGCUUGGACGUGUAUGCAAUAUUCUCUACUUCAUUAUCUUAGUCCUUAACAAGAGAUAAGCAAUCACGCAAUCUGCUUUACUCUUCAAAGUUUCUUCCUAACUCAGGCAUCAUCUCUGCCUGUUCCACUUCACUUCCACGUUCCUCUACUCUAUGAUACUUUCCUCUUCUGCUCUAAUAAAAAUUGCUGUUUCUUUUUCCCAUCACAUUCGCCGCUGUUGCCCUGGUUGACUUCCACUUUUCUCUUUUCCUAUCAAGAAGUGGUUCCUAAAAUAGGCAGCUUAGCUGGGUGUUCCACCUUCUUUGCAGGUAUUAUCGCAGCUAUCCAAGGCUCUUCAGAAUGACAUGCCUGAAAACAGGUAAGAACAGGCAGAAAGAACAGCAACACUGUGACUGGAGCUCCCAGCAAAGCUCCUGAGCAGCGCCUGAGAACUUCCCUGUUCCACGGCAAAUUACGACUGUCCACACACGACCCCUACGAAAAAUGAACUAUUGGUACUAAAAAACAGAGCCACGUCUACUUGAUUCUUCUGCCUCCCAACAAGGGACAGAUGUAACAUUUGCCUAUUUAAUCCCAGACACCCCACAACAUCUUCCUUAAACUUCUCUAUCCAAUCAACUCGGUCUGUCACUAGAUGGAUAUUUUGCCAAAGAAAGUACCAAAAAAGUGUCAUUUUUUUUUUAUGGAACACUAUGAUAGCUCCUACCAGGCAACACUGAACUUAAUGAACACAUGUGAUACUCUACGCUAACUAAUUUUAUUUCAUAAAAGCCCUCUUGAGCAUGUAACAUUACUUAGAACAAAGCUGAAAUAAUUCCACUGACUUUUGAGAUGGAUUUAACAAAUAUCAAGAUACAAAAAGCAGCAGGAAGAAGUUAGUCAAAAAACAGUAACAAGGAAGAACUCCAAAAUGACCCCUGCAGGAAUAGCGAUGUCCAGAUGCACUAAUUCUGCCUUGGCACCUUCUCACCUAAAUGCAGUCAAAUAAGCAUUAGUUUAUUAGGUGAGCGAUUCAGCUUUUCCAUCUUUUCAAUGGAAAUGAAGGUACUCCUCCAGAACCCUAUCACAUCCACCUGUCCUGUGGACCACCUGUCCAGACCUAAGAACCGGACUGUAAGCAACUGCUCAUCUAAAUUUGAGAUUCUAAAUAUGCCUUUCAGUGGAAGCAUUGCUAAGUUAAUGGUAAUUUGUAUGUAAACUACUUUAGAACUUUACACUGAGUUCUCAAAAUUCAACGCAUAUAUCUGAAGUAGAUACCAAACUACAUUACCACUGUGCUUCUUUAUGGAAAGGACAGCGUACAGCAUGCUGUUGUUGGAUCAGAAACACAUUUUUCUACUGAAGAGUGAAAGGCUAAGAUGAUAGAUGCCAAGAGCACACACAGUUCUGCUAACGUGUCCUGGAUGAGGUAUGCUCUGCUGGAGAAGACUUACUUUGAGAAGAUUCAAUGAUCACAGAGAAUAAAUGUCAUGAGCAAAAGCAGGAUGCAGGUACAGGAGCACUGGUUUUAUGCCAUUAGCAUACUGUUAUAAAAUGGAUGAUGGAAAUCGUCUGAACUGAGGUAGUCACUGACUGAAAACCUUGUAGCAAGUUUAAUGUAGAGAAUCUUCUUCAAGACUUAUUUAUGGAAAAGCCAACAUGAAUGGGAAUGCCUGGAAGGAAUGGUGGGAUACAACAGUUAGUAAACGAUAGAAUAGUUGAGAUUAGUACUUCAAAAAACGUUGGGAGAAGCUUUGGAAUUAAUUUCCAGUAUCCUAACCAUGCAAAUGGCCUUGAAGCAAGUGUAAACAGCUCACUUUCUUUUUGUUUAUUAUAUACUGUGUGAAAAGCCUUACUGUAAAAGACUAAGGUCAAUUACGCUUAUUUUUUACAAGGUUAAUUCAAGGAUUAUGACAGCAAAGCAUCCUUUGAGAGGUGCUCAAGCCUUUGCAAAGAAUUCUAUUUUCAUCACCUUUAUACCACUUCAGAGUAUCUAGGAAGAAAACUUUCCAAAUGAGAUGAUCUUCAAUUUUUAAAUAAACCCAUGAAAAAUUAAAAA